CUUAACUGGAUGCAGCGUUCCAGAUACGUCUCACCUGUGUUGAGUAAAGGGGAGGAAUUACCUCCCCUAGUCUACUGGCAGAGCUGAUCCUCAUGCAACUCAAUGUGCUAUUGGCAGAGAAAACUUUCUUUUGUAAUAGGUUUUGACCCAUGGGAUCUUUGGAAUCAAUAGCAUGCUCCAACGAGAUUGCACUUUCUUGCUUCUGUAAAUGCUGCUGACCUCUGAGCAUGCCCAAAUGCUAUGAAUGUAAAAACAACUGACAUUCCUAAAGGUGAACUUGGAGUCAUCCUGUCCCAGUACCAUUUGUGCACCAUUCUUCCUUCUUCAGAUACAGAUGUCAAGUCUGACAGCCAUGGAGACUGACAGCUGAAGAUGAGGGGCUCAGACAGCAGGAGUCCCAUGAUGAUGACUUAGCAGUGGGAAUAUGCAAAAUAAAAUGCAGCUUAAACACA
Molecule: non-coding RNA, 452 nt
Organism: Meleagris gallopavo (turkey)
Lineage: Eukaryota; Metazoa; Chordata; Aves; Galliformes; Phasianidae
Source: RefSeq, a predicted model, not a curated record